UAAUGGUCCAGAUCAAGACCUCUGUUAAUGUUUGCGAAAAAUCACUGUGGAGAAGAUCGUGUGAGACUCGGAUUGGUGUGUUUUCGUUGUGUGCUUCCAACAUGUGUGCAGGAGACCAGGUUUGAGAGAUUUGGCGGGAGAGAGGAUUUCUUCAUUGGACUAGGUUCGGCAGGGAGAGGAAAUCAGUUUGAUUAUGUCCGCAGCAGAGUCCAAGACCAUGGGUAAAGAUAAUUUAAUCAAUCUGUUGUUUUGGUUUGUUUCUUGCAUUACCGGGAUUUAAAAAAAUUGUGAAAUUGUGUUGUUCAUUGUGUCAAUGCAUAUGCGUAAGUGCACAUACACAUCCCUUUUCAAUGUACAAUGAUUCCAAGGUCAAGAUGCACAGCUUCGCGAAAGUUGCCUGAGUUGCAGGCCUGUUGUGCUGCCGCCAACAUACCACCGUCCUUUCAGCAUACCAUCUGUCGUUCCUCGACAAUACGACCAGAUGUAGUACUGAACAGUGGUAACGUCAUAGCCAGCAAAAACAUGGUUGUAGUUACCCUUCUAUCACUCCAGCUCCUAUCACCUCAUUGAGUGCUCACACAAGCUUUGUGACAUGCUCUCAUUUCCAUCUACUGGUCAGCUGCUAUCUUGCAGAUUUUUAUGUCGCCUAGCUUCCAUGCCAGGAAAGAUGAUUUCGAUGCACAAUGCAUAUUUGGUGAAAUACAGAUAUGUUGUGUUCUACUUGACCACAUUUUAAAGUUUUCUUUAUUCCACAAUAUCUCUGGCUAUGUUGUGAAUGAACAACCAGAUGGACUGUGUUGUACCUUCUGUAAAGUCAUCUGCCACAAUGGAUGAACGCAUGGCUUUCAGUUGCACUUACCAUUGAAGACGACAGUGAGAAGGUCUUUGCACGAUAUAUGCCAAACUUGACACUUGAUGAGAUGGAUAUAAAGAUGGUUGAACAAGUUCAUGUAUAAGUUUUACACAUGUGAUGUGGCGGACAAAGGUCUUGGCUUCAUGGUG
Molecule: long non-coding RNA, 1002 nt
Organism: Lolium rigidum
Lineage: Eukaryota; Viridiplantae; Streptophyta; Magnoliopsida; Poales; Poaceae
Exons: 5
Source: RefSeq, a predicted model, not a curated record